Molecule: ribosomal RNA, 408 nt
Filed under: uncultured bacterium
Lineage: Bacteria
Description: partial 16S ribosomal RNA
Rfam family: Bacterial small subunit ribosomal RNA
Source: RNAcentral
GACGAACGCUGGCGGCGUGCUUAACACAUGCAAGUCGAACGAAGUGGCGGACGGGUGAGUAACGCGUAAUCAACCUGCCCUUCAGAGGGGUAUAACAGUUGGAAACGACUGCUAAUACGGAAUACUGAAUGAGGGGAUUGCGUCUGAUUAGCUAGUUGGAGGGGUAAGGGCCCACCAAGGCGAUGAUCAGUAGCCGGUCGGAAAGGAUUAACGGCAACAUGGGGACUGGGACACGGCCCAGACUCCUACGGGAGGCAGCAGGGGGGAAUCUUCCGCAAUGGAGGAAAGUCUGACGGCGCAACGCCGCGUGGUUGAUGACGGCCUUCGGGUUGGAAAGCUCUGUUAAGCGGGACGCGGUACCGGAAUAGAAAGCCACGGCUAACUACGUGCCAGCCGCCGCGGUAAUUC